Molecule: long non-coding RNA, 578 nt
Organism: Salmo salar (Atlantic salmon)
Lineage: Eukaryota; Metazoa; Chordata; Actinopteri; Salmoniformes; Salmonidae
Source: RefSeq, a predicted model, not a curated record
GACAACGAAAAUCAAAAAUCAUAACAACGACUGGAGGUUGCUGUUAACCGCUGCUGUAGCAGUAUCAUGUCAGAACUGAAGGGCAUAACUUAAUUGAAAGAACAGCAGAUAACUGCAUUGAAGGCUUUUCUCGGGGGAGAAGAUGUUUUUCGUUCUUCUCCCGAAUGGGUUUGCCAAGCACUUGAUUUACCAGCUAGUUCCACUAGUAGUCAAGAAAAUGGGACGGACCAAGAACCCAAUUCUCAUUGUUGUGUUAACGUGGGUCGCUUUAAUGGAGGUUCACAUCACAUUCAAAUGGGGAGAGGUCGCAAAAGGGGAGCGAGCCAUCAGAGAGCUUUGCAGAGUUGGGAAAACUCUGAUCCAUAGCCAAAGAGAGUACACCUGUGUUGGCACUGACAACAUCCGUGCCUACGUUGUCAACAACAUCCAGUAUUCCGAUUGCAACAUACAAUUUACCUGAAGACUUUCUUGGUCUAUAGUAAUUAGUUAGUUAAAUGACAGCUGAGAAAUAAGACUGUUAUUGUUUGUGUUGUUACUUGUCCAAACGUACCAGAUUAAAACUCAUAAUUUUUGCUCAA